GACGUAGGGGGCGAGCGUUGUCCGGAUUUACUGGGCGUAAAGCGUGCGCAGGCGGUUCGUUGUGUCGGCGGUGAAAGCCCCGGGCUUAACCUGGGAAUGGCCGUUGAAACUGGCGAACUGGAGUGUGGCAGAGGGGGGUGGAAUUCCGCGUGUAGCAGUGAAAUGCGUAGAGAUGCGGAGGAACACCGAUGGCGAAGGCAGCCCCCUGGGCUAACACUGACGCUCAGGCACGAAAGCGUGGGGAGCAAACAGG
This 253-nucleotide ribosomal RNA is filed under the name uncultured bacterium. RNAcentral describes it as "partial 16S ribosomal RNA". It matches the Rfam family "Bacterial small subunit ribosomal RNA", at positions 524 to 776 of the family's 1533-position model. The record is from RNAcentral.